Molecule: long non-coding RNA, 1916 nt
Filed under: Mus musculus (house mouse)
Lineage: Eukaryota; Metazoa; Chordata; Mammalia; Rodentia; Muridae
Description: long non-coding RNA chr8:20258543-20260459
Source: RNAcentral
CCUACAGCAUUAAGUGGGGGUCCCCCAGAUCCUGCCCCUUCCAAACAUAGCUCAAGCCCAUGUUCCCUGCCUAUGGCAGGAGCUAAGGUAUCUGUUGCCUGUGGCUAUGCCAUGGGAAGGGGCAGAAUAAACAUGGAUCUUACCUCUUUCAUCUACAAAGAAGGUGUUGCCUUGAUGUUAGUCAACAUCUUUGAGGGGACAAGGAAGGAAGUGGAGAAGAUACCUUUAAAACAAAACCACACUGUUUAGGAGAAAUCUCAUAUUUAUUGUUUUGUGCUGUUUUAUUGAGACUCGGUCUUGUUCUGUAGCCCAGGCUGGCCUUUUACCUACCUGCCCCAGCCUCCUGGACUCCGAGAUUAUACACACACACCAUCAUGCCUAGCAAAGAGAAAAUAUUUUAUGAUAACGUACAAAUCAAAUAAAUGCAUACUUAUAUGCAGGAAUGCACAUACUACUAGUUGUGUGCACCCAAGUACACACACACACACAAAGAUAAAAACAUUUAGGGAAACCCAUGCUUGUUAAUACUGACAGACAGUACCAUACCACGAACGUUUUGGAAAGACAGCCAAGAAUGUGUCCCCAAGGCAGCACAGAGCUGCAUGUCUAAUGGUGCUGGCUUUCCUGAUCUGUCUCUGAUAAAUAUCCCAGUUCCAGAAGCAUCCUUGAAGGUUCAUUGGAGGCAUACAAGAAGCCUCCCAACUGGCUGACAGCCAAGGGAUGCAGACAAGAGUUAGGCAAGAGCAACCAGUGCUAAAAGGUGGUCCACAGAUGUUAGCAUCAGCAAGAAUAGAGAAGCAAGCCCAUGAAGCAAGUCUCAGUCUCCCCAGACUAAGACUGUCACAGCUUAGAGCCACAGCUCUAAGGGACUAAGAGCCACAGCUUGGCCUUCCAAGGUAGUGUGAGACCCCAUAGGACCAUCAAAGGUCCAGGUCACACACCCUAAGUCCCAGCAGCCAAAUAGGUUCCCAGAGAGGGAGGAAAGCAGGACAGACGGCCAGGACCGGAACACAAUAGGACAAUGCCAGGCAUGGAACAGAAGCCCUGAGUGUAGGAAAUGCCCUAUCUGUAAUUGCCCCCACACAGGAGAAGAAGAAAAAAAGCCCAAGUACAAACGGAAAGCUGGGUAAACAAAAGGUACCAGGUUGCAUUGUAUAUAGCACAUAAUGGAGUAUUUCCCUGCAAGUUAAAAAUCCACACAGUCACUACAAAGAAGUUGCACAGGCACGAUGCUGAGAAAGAACCUGUACACAGCGGAUCUGGGCCUGGAGACCCUGUUUAUACACAGCUCCAUAACUCUCAAGAAGAAUCGGCAUGGUCCGACUCCUGCGCACCUCUGGCUGGGAAAGUGUGGAUGUGGACUUGGCAGGGACAUCAGGCAACUUCCGGGUGAUUAGGAAUGUAUUCCCCCCGCCCCCACUGAACCAUAUAUUUAAGUUCUAUAAACUCACAGUGUGCAUGUCACUCUUCAGCGAUGUGUUUUUUGGUUUUGUUUGUUUUGCAUUAUCAACUGUAUUCUUUUUGUUGUUGUUGUUGUUGUUUUUUUUUUUUUGUUUUUCGAGGCAGCUUUUCUCUGUGUAGCUCUGGCUGUCCUGGAACUCACUUUGUAGACCAGGCUGGCCUUGAACUCAGAAAUCAGCCUGCCUCUGCCUCCCAAGUGCUGGGAUUAAAGGCGUGCGCCACCACCUCCAGGCCAGCGAUGUGUUUUAAAAGAGAGGGAGCCUGCUCACUAUCUGAGCCAAGUACUAACUGAACCAAGGGCAGGAGGCCUCACUGUGCAAGUGAACCUACUGGUCUUGGCCUGAAGAGGGCGCAGUUGUUGUGUCGUUCCCCGUUUCCCAUCUUGCAGGAAGUGUUCCAAGACAAACAAACCUGGCUCCUAAGAGAAGGGAGCUGUCUCAUGUUUAUCCCAUACC